This 49-nucleotide ribosomal RNA is filed under the name Goodenia rosea. Its description in RNAcentral is "partial 18S small subunit ribosomal RNA". It matches the Rfam family "Eukaryotic small subunit ribosomal RNA", at positions 1784 to 1831 of the family's 1831-position model. The record is from RNAcentral. Lineage: Eukaryota; Viridiplantae; Streptophyta; Magnoliopsida; Asterales; Goodeniaceae.
AGAAGUCGUAACAAGGGUUUCCGUAGGUGAACCUGCGGAAGGAUCAUUG